UAUAUUUUAGUGUGUAUGCAUAAAAGAUUUUGAUUCUUUUGGAUUUAAUUAAUAAUUAAAAAAUAUAA
RNAcentral lists this transfer RNA (68 nucleotides) under Hydropsyche fryeri. RNAcentral describes it as "tRNA-Gln". Lineage: Eukaryota; Metazoa; Arthropoda; Insecta; Trichoptera; Hydropsychidae. The record is from RNAcentral.